This 468-nucleotide small RNA is filed under the name Arabidopsis thaliana (thale cress). RNAcentral's name for it is "ATSL022380". The record is from RNAcentral. Lineage: Eukaryota; Viridiplantae; Streptophyta; Magnoliopsida; Brassicales; Brassicaceae.
GACUAAUACAUGUCUUUUAUUGAUAUAAUGAAAUCAACAUUUGAAUAUGUACUAUAUCAACAUUUAAACUCCUUUUGCUUCCAUCCUAUAUAUACUCCUUGAGGAUUUUCAAGCUUUAGAAUCUCUUUGUGACCAACAAUCUCAUUGCCUCUGAUCACCUUUUUCGUAGACUUGUACAUCCACUUCGCAAGAGGCUGAAGACGAAUCUCUCUAUUAAAAAGGUUGUUCCGUAGACGGAGUCUUGGAACAUAAUACUAGUAAUGAUUUUUAGGAAAGAACUUAUGAGUUGGAAGCACUUGAUUCUCUGAUAAUCAAGAUAAAACUCAAAAUGAAUUACCAGAUUGCGCUUGAAGUUGUUGUUUGUGAUAUAUGGCCUCAAAAAAUCCACAACUAGCUCAAUUUCUGAAGAAGAAAACUUGACACCCCUAUGCGGCACUGGACUUUAUAAUAUUUUAGGUUUUGGAUAUU